This is a long non-coding RNA of Bos taurus (domestic cattle), 3245 nucleotides long. The record is from Ensembl. NCBI's taxonomy places the organism in Eukaryota, Metazoa, Chordata, Mammalia, Artiodactyla, Bovidae.
GCUAACUCAGGAUAAACCGGAUUGGGGUUAGGCGGGUGGUGACAUGCUGCUAUUUGUGAAGGAUCCUGGCCUCCUGCUCCUGUGACAUCAGCAGGGUCUCUAAAGCAGGGCUGAGGCACUUGGGCCAGAGUCUGCUCCUGAAGACACAGGCAUGGAGCUCCGUCAUCAUGCCUUGCCACAGGGAGGCCAUGAGGGUGCCAAAGGACCAGCCACAGGGCUUGAGGAGGAGUUUGAAGUCCUGUCUAAACCAAUUCUGCUUCAGACAUUCACCCUCCCAGGAAGGCCCAGACCAGAGAAAUCUCCAAGCCCCACAAGCCCCUUUGCUAAUGGCUAGAACUGGUUACUCAUUGGCAGAGCCUGUUUUGGUUGAUAAACCUUUUUCUCACAUGUGAUGUCACUUGAUCUUCAUAACAAAACAAUAUUUCCUCAUUUUACAGAGGAGGAAACUAAAGCUCAGAGUUUAAGCAACGAGCUUAAAGGAUACCAACUAGGAAGCAGUAAAUCUAGGACAGGGACCCAGAUGGUCAAAUUCCAAGGUCAUCGUUGUCUCUGGGAUGUCGUGUCCCUCACUCCAGGCCCUAGGGACCCAGAAAAGCCCCACCAGGACUCAGACAGUGGGCUGAGGCCUUCCCAGCCAGCACAGCUGUGUAUCUGUGGCCCAAAGGGCCCAGAGGCCCACCACGCUUCUGCCCUUCACAGCAGCGCCGGUUCAUCGAGAAGGUCAGAAAAGUGAAGUCAUUCUCUAGUGUGCCUGAGAUCUCAGGGCAGACCUUGCCUGAGGCUAGACAAGGCUGAAUCUCUUUCCUCCUGCUCAACCCCAUGAUGUUCUUUGAAGAGCUGUGAGGAACAGGGAAUGGCUAUCUUGGUGGGGACAACGGGUGGAAGCAGCAGCAAGCAGAUGGGACAAAAUGUAGAGAAGGAUCAGUAUGAAGAUGAACUCUCCAGCCUGGUCAGGGGUUGUGAUCGGCUGCUUUACAAAAAGAUUUUUUCCACCUUUCCUUGAGAAACAAAUGCAUGCCUCAUGCAGCAGAUCAAGGUGGUGACUGUAUUUGCCAGCGUACCAGACACACAACUGCGUAAGGGAAAAGGAAUUUCUCCUGGAGCUGAUAAUUUCCAACAUGUUCAGCAACAUUUGUCUCUUGGGCUUCUGAAUAAGACCAGGAGGCAUAUGGGAUCUUAGCACGCUGACCAGGGAUCCAAACUGCACUGGAAGUUUCAACCACUGGACUGCCAGAGAAGUUCAUAAAAUGGUUGCUUUUAUAGUUUUGUGAAUUUUACCUCAAUUAAAAAAAAAAUUGCAUAAACACUGAAUCAUUUCUAAAUGUCCCGAAGGGCACGGCAGUGCUAUAUUCCAGGGCAGCCCCAGAGUCAAGGUCCCAUGGCACCUUGUACUGCACCUUUGGAUCAAGACUGGAGUCCCCCCAUGUGUAAGCAAGACCUCCAAGUGUCCUCAGAGACACUCAGCUGAGCACUAUUACCAACCAGCUGAGUGUGUGUAUUUUGGUUUGUUACUUCACUGGCUGAGUCCUUAACAAGGACUUCUGAAGGUGCUUAGUUUGAUUAAGGAUUUGAUAGUUCCAGAGGUGGAGCCUGGAGCAGGCUUUAUUUUUUCCUUUAAACCAGGGGGAUCUUCGCAGAGACAACAGCUCACAGCCUGCGGAUGGCGCCCCAGAUGCUCUCCUGGGCCAUCUGACUGUCCACUGGGACCCGUGGGGAGGAAGGAGGAUGAUCCCAUCCCAGAGGGCAGAAUCGGGGCACUUGAUACCUUUCCUUGUGCCUUCACAUAUACCGUUUCAUUCACUAGCCUAAGAAACAAACAUAGCUACCACCUUGGAAAAUAGCAACUCCGGGGGAAAUUCCUGUUCCCUUAGCCAGCAGUGGUCCAGUGAGCAAAGAAAGCCCAGUGACAAGCAUCCACUUGGGAAACUCUAGGUCCUGGGAGUUCCUCACCAAGAUGCCUUUCCUGGGAGAGAACCCCAUUCAGUCCAAAGAACUCCAACUCUGUUAGAAAUGUAAUCGACAGCAUUUACCAUCAAGCCAGAUCACUGAACCAGUUUGGACCAAGACAGCCUAGACUCAGCUGGAAUUGCAGAAUUCCCCAACAGACCCUGUUAGAACCCAGUGAAGGUGGCCCCUUAUUGUUUUUCUCAAUUAAAAAAAAAAAAAAAAAAAACAACCAAAACUAAGAAGCUUUCUGCAUGCUUUUAAGGCAUUUACAGCUGCCCAGAGAAGCAGGACUACUUAUGACUCCACUUAAUAAGCACCUGGCAAUCACCAACCUCUCUAAUUGCCAUGUGGGUGAAGAGGUGGGAAUUCAAACAAACGAAGGAGAUUUCGAAGUGUUACUGGAAGAUGAAAAAUGUGACGGAAGCGCCUAGGCAUGAGAGGCAAGCAGAGACACAUGCUUCUCUCAGGGCAGCAUAACCCAGAAAGCCGACUGAAGCUGAUGUGAACAUUCCCAGCAUCUGCCUCCUGGACACUUACACCGAAAAGAGCCGCAUCAACUGCUCAGAAAAAUGCAGGUACCACUGAGACACCCCAGGUACCAUGGCCUGUGUUGUUUCCUCAGGCAAAAGUUGUUGCUGGGAGACCCAGUGCCAAGAGUUUUGAAUGUCCGGUUCCUCACACCCCAGGCCUUCUCAAAAGGGAAAGGAGAUAAAACAUGGGGGUUCCCACAGCACUAUCAAUACCCUCCCCCUUUACAGAGAGGAAACUCUGGUUCAGAGAGAUUACAAGUAGAGAGGCAGGGCUAGGAUUCAGAGUGCCCGUAACUCUCACAGUCCAGAGCUCUUGGGUCCUCCAAGGAACGAGGCCUUCACUCUGGGCUCCUCUUCCGCAGGUUAGGAGUGGUAACUCAGUGCCUAACAUUCAGCUGCUGCCGACCAUCCUGACUGCUAACUACUCACACGUGUGCCUCCCUAGAGCACCCAGGACAGACACUCUCAUUUACCCCCGGCUUCCUGGGCAGGGUCCAGCUGACACUUCUCAGUGUUCCACACCCACCAACCUGUGUCUAUUCAAAAAGGACGUCGGGAUGUGAUUGUCCCACUUAUGUACAUGCCUUGGUUGUUUCCAGAGGCCUGCGUAUGACCUCAUGCAACCACCUGGACCCUCUGAGCAAUACCUUAAAUUGGCUUUUUGAAGAUUCUCAAGUCCCCAGAGUCAAUUUUAUUGAAACAAAAUACAAAGUGCCCCCAGGAAGGGACAGCCCUGUGAACUGUUAGUGGCUAGCAUUUGGCAGUACG